This 4114-nucleotide long non-coding RNA is filed under the name Homo sapiens (human). RNAcentral describes it as "non-protein coding lnc-ZNF852-4:1". The record is from RNAcentral. Lineage: Eukaryota; Metazoa; Chordata; Mammalia; Primates; Hominidae.
GUAGUGGACAAAGUGAAUCAGAGAAGAGCAGAGGGAGUGCUGGAUUGGGAGAUCAGUCGUGAUUUUAGAUAGUCUGGUCAGGGAGGGCCUCAACUGAGAAGGUGAAAUGUGAGCAAAGACGUGAAGGAAGCCAGGGAGGUAGCAGGUAGCUCUCUAGGGAGAGUUGCAGGCAGAGGAGAUUGGGUCUUGACUGGUGUCCUCAGGAAGGAAGCCCCUGGGAUGGAGUGCAGGGAGCCAGCUGGAAGGGAAGGAGAGGGGCCAGGGAGGCCACAGGCCCGGCCAUAUGAGCAUCAUGGGUCAUUACGGGGGCUUGAGCUGGCUCAGAGGGAGGCAGGGAGCUUUUGGACAAUUUUGAGUUGAGGAGUGAUGUGGUUUGAAUCUGAAUUAUAUUUUAUAAGGGUUAACCACAGAUCCAAGGACUCAGUAAAAGGGUGAAAGGCUUCUCAUGCAGUUAGCCUUGCUGCCAGUUCCCAUAAAUCAGACUCCUCCCCACUCCGUUUCUGAAUUUUCUAUAGGAUCCUCGGCCUCAGCAGAUAUAAACGCUUACCAUUGUUGUGUUCAUGUCUCUAGCCCCUGCACACUGCAGGCCCCUCUCAGCUUCACAUACCCCUCUCCAUGUAUGAGAUCUGGUGCUAGCAAUCAGAUUCAACCCGAAGGAACAAGUGCAUGUGCCUGCUGCUCUCAGGAGAAAAGGCAGCCUGUUCUGGGAGGAGCUCCCUCACUGGCCCACCCACUUGUGUUGAAGCAAAAAGCAAGAAUCAAUUACUUAAAGGCAAAGGAGUGAUAUUGCUAAAGCAUGUGAGUAAUCAUUGCUUCUGAUUAUUGAAGAGGUCAGAUUAUGAAUGAAAGGAUAAAAUGUUUUAAUAGUAGAGCAGUGUCCUGACUAUAGGGGCCCGUUCAUGGAGCUGGUCAUUUCUUGAAAUGAGAAGAAACCAACCUGGAAGAUGUCUUUUUCAGUAGAGUAUGGAAUAAUCUUACCUGCUCUGGAUUGCCAUGAGCAGGUGAAAAUGAAGGCUCUGAUAUUGUGUGGUGGUGUCACAGGAUGGUGGGGGCGGGGCAGAAGUCUCCUGUUGGUGUUCUGAUGCCUGUUCAGCUUUGUCCUCAGGAAGGUUUGGUCAUCUUGGUUCUGCCAUCCUCUUGCCUUCCUACGGCAGCAGCUGUUCAUGGCACUGAAGAUGUCCCUUCACUGUCCCAAAACUGGCACUAGAAGUGGCUGGGCAGGGGGGCCAGAGUCAUAGGAAGGGUCUUGGAGUCAUCAGAUCUGGGUUCCAGGCAUGGUGUGCCUUUUCUUGGCAGGAUUGAUCUUGAGCAAGUCAAUGAACCUCUGCAUCAAUUUCCUUAUGUGUGAAGUUAGAGUGCUUGGCUGUGCUACCUGAUUCCUGAGAUUGGUGAAAGAGGGCUUGGUUUACCAAGGCUCUCCAUCAGGUGGUUGACCUCUAGGACCAGGGCCCUCUCAGAGGUGCAGCUUCCAUGUCAGUUGGUGUUGUAACCAUGGAAAAGUCCCUUUCCAAUCAAACUUUUAGCACCCCUUUCCCCCCAUCUCUGCUCCCUUUGCCACAGGAUACCUUGUAAAGUUCCUGCCCCAGUAUAGGGAUAUUUUUACUGUCUUUUUUAUUUUUUGAGACAGGGUUGCCCAGGGUGGAGUGCAGUGGCAGGAUCACAGCUUACUGCAGCCUUGACCUCCCAGGCUCAGGUCCCAUCUGAGCCUCCCGAGUAGCUGGGGCUACAGGUGUGUGCCACCCUGCCAGCUAAUUUUUUAUAUUUUUUUGUAGAGACAAAACUUUUAUUUUUUUUUCCCAUGUUGCUCAUGCUGGUCUCAAACUCCUGGGCUCAAGCAAUCCACCCACCUCUGCCUCCCAAAGUGCUGGGAUUACAGGCGUGAGCCACUGUGCCUGACCUGUCAUUUUUAUAGAAUGAAAUGUGCUUAUUUCUAAACAUUCUAAUCAAAUUUUAAAAUGUGCAAAGAAUGAAGUGAAAAACUGAAUUUUUUUUUUUUUUUGAUACGGAGUCUCACUCUGUUACCCAGGCUAGAGUGCAGUGGCGCGAUCUCCGCUCACUGCAAGCUCUGCCUCCUGGGCUCACACCAUUCUCCUGCCUCAGCCUCCUCAGUAGCUGGGACUACAAGUGCCUGCCACCACGCCUGGGUUAUUUUUUAUAUUUUUAGUAGAGACGGGGUUUCACUGUGUUAGCCAGGAUGGUCUCGAUCUCCAGGAUGGUCUCGAUCUCCAGGAUGGUCUCGAUCUCCUGACGUCGUGAUCCACCCGCCUCGGCCUCCCAAAAUGCUGGGAUUACAGGUGUGAGCCACUGUGCCCGGCCAAAAGAACAGAAAUUAUUUUAUCCUGAAGUAAGCUGUUUAUAUUUGGGAUUAUACUGAACCUAUUUGUCCAAUAACCUGAGUUUUCAAAUAAUUUUAGUUCUAUAAGUACUAUAAUUAUAUAAAUAUUAAUGAAUUCAGAUUAGCUGAAAGGAAAAAAAGUAGAAGCCUGACUACUUGGUGCUAACUACUAAAGAUUUUGGCAGAAUCAAUGUUGGAUUUGGCUUUCCUGUCCCUUCCCCAUGCCAGCCCCCCAGAGUGUUCUGCCUUGUGCUGCCUCCCUUCACCUGGAGUGCCACACCCCUCUCUCUGCCAGUUCAGCUCUUCAUUCUUCAAGGCCUGACCUUGUCUGACCCUUGUGCCUCUAAACCCGUGGCCCCACCUCUCUUGGUUCCUAUGUCAGGUGAUGUUUGUGUUUUUGGUUAUGCCCAUCUCCAUAGCCAGACCAAGCACUCUGGAAGCCAGGGUUGGGUGCUUAUUUAUCUGUUUGCCAUGCAGAAAAUAUCUUGCACAAAAUUACCUCUGUUAAGGAAUCUGAAGCUGAAUUUAGUUUGGCUGAGUCAGGGUUGGGUUUUUUUUAAGGGGCUGUGGGGUGAAAUGUUGACUGGAAGCCACCCACAAACACACACCUGCUGGUUAGGAACCCGGCUGUGGGUGGUUCUGAGCUGUUUGGCUUCAGUUGACAGUUUCUGAUUGCCCUGAGCACCAGGUCUCAUCUUGCAUCUCAUCCUGGCCUGGAGAACAUUCAGUUUCCUUCCAACCCUUCCCACCUUUCCCCCACUCCCUUGGAGGAACUGAAGUUGGGGUUGAGGAGAGCCAGAUGGCUGGAGUGGGUAUUUGAAGGUCUUUCUGUCACCUGUUCAGUGUGGUCUGCCCCACCCCUGCUGACCAAGACUGACUGAAAUGUAAAAUAAUACAGACCAUCUCACACUCAGAAAGCUGGCACAUUUUUGAAAGCCCAAGUGUGGGUAAGUGCGUGGAACAACGAUAAUUCACACUGCUUUAUGAGUAGAAAUUGUGAGAAAUAUUGUGCCAGGCAAUUUGCAAAAUCUUGGAAGGUUGUGUGCACUUAACCACCCAGCAACUACUCCUGGAUGCAUCCUAGAGAAGUGCCAUGUGAACAGAGAAUGAUUUUAAGACUUCACUGAAGUAUUGUUUAGGUAGCAAGAUUGGGAAAAGCCUGCAUUUCAUCAGCAGAAGAAUGGAUAAAUAAAUGGGUUGUUUUUGGUCCUUGGAAAGUGAAUAUGAAAGAGUUACGUCUCAACACAGAUAGAUGAAAAAUUAUGCUGAGAAAGUUGGUGAAGCUACAUACAAGGUACCCUUAGUGUAAAGUUAAGCAUACUGUGUACCUGUGGGCACGUUACUUCAACUUGUUUUUCACUUUUUCUGUAAAAUGGGAUAGUAGUGGCAAUCUCACAGGGUGAUUGUGGGUGGGGGGGUGGUCAAUGAAGUAAUGCAUGUAAAAUGCUUAGAAUAGUGUCUAGCAUGUAAGCCUUGUGGACAUAUAGAAAGUGUUAUUGUUUUGCACAGUAAUCUAUUUUCUGUGGAUUCAAAUAAUAUGAAAUGAGUAUAAAAUCAUGUAUUGGAACGAUGUGUGCAAGUCACCAUUCUGCCUUCCUAAGGCAGGAGACCUGAUGGAUUUGGGGAGGGUACAUGGGGCCUUCAGUUGUGUUUUCUUUGUUUUUUUCUAAAAAUUGAUGCAGAGGCAUCACAAUGUUAAGAUUUUUACAGGGUAGUGUGGUGGGUACUUUUUAACUGUUUGCUUAAAGUGUUUCAAAGUAAAAAUAUUUCUUAAGCAUA